This 774-nucleotide ribosomal RNA is filed under the name uncultured Neocallimastigales. RNAcentral's name for it is "partial large subunit ribosomal RNA". It matches the Rfam family "Eukaryotic large subunit ribosomal RNA", at positions 26 to 614 of the family's 3401-position model. The record is from RNAcentral. Lineage: Eukaryota; Fungi; Neocallimastigomycota; Neocallimastigomycetes; Neocallimastigales.
CGCAUCUGUGCAUGCAGCAUAUCAAUAAGCGGAGGAAAAGAAACUAACAAGGAUUCCCCUAGUAACGGCGAGUGAAGCGGGAAGAGCUCAAAUUUGAAAUCUUAAAGGGUUUCCCUUUACGAAUUGUAGUUUAAAGAAGUGUUUUCUGUUGAGGUUUUGGUAAAAGUUCUUUGGAAUAGGACAUCAUAGAGGGUGAGAAUCCCGUAUUUGACCUUUACUUUCAACUUUGUGAUACACUUUCAAAGAGUCGGAUUGUUUGGGAAUGCAGUCCAAAAUGGGUGGUAAAUUUCAUCUAAAGCUAAAUAUUGGCGAGAGACCGAUAGCGAACAAGUACCGUGAGGGAAAGAUGAAAAGAACUUUGAAAAGAGAGUUAAACAGUACGUGAAAUUGUCAAAAGGGAAGCGUUUGACACCAGUGUUGUUUUUCUGAAAAUCAAUUAAAGAACUGUUUAUGCUAAGUUGUUUAGACUUUAUCAGCUAACUGCUUAGUUUUGAGCUUUUCUUUAAUGCACUUUUCAGUUAACAAGUCAACAUCAAUUUCUUUUGCUGUAAAAAAGCUUGAGGAAGGUGGCUUGAGAUUCGUCUUAAGUGUUUAUAGCCUCUUGCCUAUGCAGUCGGAGAGAUUGAGGUCUGCAGCGUAGAUCCUUCGGGGCUAAAUGCAUUUGUGCUAAGUUAUAGCAUUUUAUAGACAACUUGUUGACUAUGAUUUGUCUUGUAGCUUACUCGCUUAUGUUAUUUUACCUACGCUUAGGAUGUUGAACGCGCACAGAGUCUC